AAUUAAAUGUGUUGUUAAGAAGGUAAGUUAGUUUAUUUAAUUGUAAUAAUAAAAUGAUUGAAAUUACUAAUGUUCAAACCACAUUGGUUAGAAUUUAUAAUUUGUAUUAUAGCCUAAUGAGGUUUGUUUUACCAUAAAAUGUUUAUGAUGCCAUAAAUUAAUUUACACGUGGAUUUCUCCACCUAUAUGAAACAUAUGUUAAUCAUAAUAGAACUUCUGCUUUAAGAAGAAAACCUCUGCCUUUUAACAAGAGAUCUCUCUGUAACCAGCAACUGAAUCGGAACACUCGCGAUAAUUGUCUGUCACGUGACGUUCGGUCUGAGCAAUACAGCUGGAAGAACACAACACAAGAUGUAUUUGCUUUUAUAAUUAUUAUUAUUAUUUUUUUUGCUUUAUAUUUUAGGCGUCUCUUUACAGCUUUGUUAAGUAAUUAAUUGAUAGGAAAAGGUGUUUAUGAGGUGUAAGUGCUUUACUGCUGUUUAUUUUAAAUACAAAUAGACGGACGCACAACUUCAACGUGCAAUCCAAAAAAACGUCACAACGUCAUUUACAUACACAUGUCGGCGGAUGACACGUGCCGAUGACAUCACCUCAUUUAUCCUCAAUUUCCCGCGAAAGACCUACGCAGCGAUUAAAGAGCAGAGCAACCACAUCUUUGUCUUUUUGCUGUCCGAGACAUUAAACCAGGAGAAGAGAUUACUUACAGCUAUGGAGACUGGGAUUGGCAAGCCAAGCGUUCAUCACCUGCUCCUGUGACUGCUACAUCAUCCUCAUCCUCACCUGUGAGGAAAAGUUCAUCACCUGCCCCUGUGACUGCUACAUCAUCCUCAUCCUCAUCUGUGAGGAAAAGUUCAUCACCUGCCCCUGUGACUGCUACAUCAUCCUCAUCCUCACCUGUGAGGCAGCGUUCAUCACCUGCCCCUGUUACUGCUACAUCAUUCUCAUCCUCACCUGUGAGGAAAAGUUCAUCACCUGCCCCUGUGACUGCUACAUCAUCCUCAUCCUCACCUGUGAGGCAGCGUUCAUCACCUGCCCCUGUUACUGCUACAUCAUCCUCAUCCUCAUCUGUGAGGAAAAGUUCAUCACCUGCCCCUGUUACUGCUACAUCAUCCUCAUCCUCAUCUGUGAGGAAAAGUUCAUCACCUGCCCCUGUUACUGCUACAUCAUCCUCAUCCUCACCUGUGAGGCAGCGUUCAUCAAGAAAAAGACAGCAGGAGAGGUUUCAGUCAAGAUUGGUCACACUACGGGAACAUCAUAACAAUUGCUCCAAGCGCUUUAAUAGAGCAGAAGUUGAAAAAACCAACAGAACAAAAAAGACUGCCAUACUUGAGGAUUGCGUUGUAUUCGAGUCUUCUGAUGCACCAUGUGCUAUGUGUACCUCUGUAAAGGCAUCACCACCCUCUCGCCCUUCUCCACUCCCUUCAUCAUCAUCAUCAUCAGCUGCCCCUGUGAUGGGCACAUCAUCUUCAUCCUCCCCAUCAUCACCUGCCCCUUUGCCCUGUGAUGCAUCCACUUCUGUGAUCUCUCCAUCACAGGUGUCCCAGACACUCUCAAUAAGGGAGGUUCAUCAAUCCCUUCAAAAAGAAAAUGGGAGGACUCUGAGGUAAAAGCAGUUGAAAAACAUAUGAUGAAGUUCAUAAAGACCUGCAGAGUUCCUGGUAAGCAAGACUGUGAGAGAUGCAUUAAAGCAGAGUCAGAAGCCUUAAAGGAACGAACAUGGACUGGUGUGAAAAAUUAUGUGCGGAACAGGAUCACAACUUGAGGUGGAUUUUAGAGGCUACAUUGCCUUUUACUGUAAAGUGAAGAACAUGGUGAGGAAAAUGUUAAAAGCAUCAAUGCCAUUUACACCAUAUCAAACUUUAAUAACUUCUGUAAGGCCCUGUUAUACCCCGUUUUAACACUUUCCACAUCAUGCUCAUCAUUUUAAAGAAAUUAGAUAAAAGUUUAAGUAGAAAGAUGUAUAAAGAGGGAGAAUUUGUUUGAGGACAGAAGGAAACACAAUGUUAAC
Long non-coding RNA from Cyprinus carpio carpio, 2008 nucleotides. Lineage: Eukaryota; Metazoa; Chordata; Actinopteri; Cypriniformes; Cyprinidae. The record is from Ensembl.